Molecule: non-coding RNA, 1608 nt
Organism: Anolis sagrei ordinatus
Lineage: Eukaryota; Metazoa; Chordata; Lepidosauria; Squamata; Anolidae
Source: RefSeq, a predicted model, not a curated record
UCCAUCCAUCUAUGUGUUUUGGAUAGAAUAGGGAAGGGCUAACACCCCUGUGGUGUUUGUUUUGCUGUCUGUGCCUCUGUUCAGAAGAUUCCACCUCACUUUCUGUCCCUGUGAUCAUUGGAUUUUGAAAAAUGUGGCUUGUUGUGGAAGCAAGGAUUCAUGAUAUAGCCUCAGUGGAGACACCUUUUCCCCAUGAUAACUCUUUCAGGAGAAAAUUUCCCUUCUGAGGGGUAGAUUUCUGUCACUUCCUGAUGUCUCGCCCUGUUUGUAAGUAUGAGUUUUUUUAUAAGUUGGAUGUUUGUAACUCGAGGACUGCCUGUACUUUAGUCGACUCAUCCUGUUUGAGCAGAAAGCCUUAGAGCAGUGGUUUUCAACCUAAACAUCUGGGGACCCACAGGUUGAGAAGCACUGCCUUAGAGCUCUGAGAGAAUGCUAAAUGGGCCCAAAUUGAGUCUAUCUCGCCUUCCUGGAAGUGAACUCAGAUGCUGGCAGAACACAGAAUGCAGCUGAAACCUCAAUUAACAUCCUUUAAUGAAAUGAUCUUUCUUUCAUUAUGUUUCUUCUUUAAUAAAAAAGAAGCUGAUGCUAAUAUAUCCAAGGAUCAAUACAUACUUAGUAUACCUGUUGUUGUUGUUGUUGUUGUUGUUUGCUUUCAAGUGACAUUUCUGAUUUAUGGCAACCCUUUUAUAGGGUUUUAUUGGCAAGAUUUCUUCGGAGGAAUUUUUGUUUUUGUUUUUUUCUGUUGUCUUCCUUUGUGUCUGAGAGUAUGACUUGCUCAAGAUCACGCAGAGGGUUUCCAUGGCUGAGCAAAAUUUGAACUAACUACACCACUCUGGCUCUCACACUGCUUAUUGUAUUGUAAAUAAUCUCUAAUUCGUGAUGUUUCAUUUCAAGGGAGAAAAGAGAAGGCUCCUCCAAAAUAGCCCUCUUCUUACCAGAAGAGAUAGUUGGAGAAAAAAACAGCUGCCUGGACUAGUGUUGAGGGCAAAGCAAGAAGGUGGUAGAAGAAGAGGAAGCAGAAGAAGAAGAAGAAGAUGAGGAGGAAGAUGAAGAGAAGUUGAACAUUUCUAUUCGAUAAUCUGUCCUUCUGUCUUUGGUUCUGCUAUUUUCAGGAAUUAUCACAGUGAUAAUCCAGUCUUUCUUAACUACUGUAGAGACUCACUUAUUCAAUAUAAACAGGCUGGAUAAUGUUGGAUAAUAAGGAGGGAUUAAGGAAAAGCCUAUUAGAUGUCAAAUUACUUUAUGAUUUUACAAAUUAAGCACCAAAACAUGUUUUAUAACAAAUCAACAGAAAAAGCAUGUAGUAAUGUACUGUAUUAUGUAGUAAUUACUGUAUUUAUGAAUUUAGCACCAAAACAUCGCAAUGUAUUGAAACAGUUGUGGAUCCGGGUGGGAGGCAGACUGCGUUGGAUAAUACAGAACGUUGGAUGAUCAAAGGUUGGCUAAGCGAGACUCUACUAUAUUAUGCCUAGCAGAUUGUGUUUAAAUUUUUAUCACAUUUAAUCUUAAUGUUUUAUAAGAGAUUUCCUUCACCGUUUUUGAACCACUUUUUGAGGUUUAUGUUUCUGCCCAUCCUUUGCACAAAAAUAAAUCCAUUAUAACCUUGCA